CCCUUCACACGUGCAGACAAAGAGAUCCAACAACACAACCAAAAUACUCUUGUCUAACUUUUUCUUUUUUAACCAACCAGAACAGAUUUACAGGAUUGCUUUGAAUGUAGAGAUCUGGUCAUCUAUUGUAGAUUGUUCUUCUAUCUGGAGUUGAACAGUAGCUUGUAGACUUGUUUUACAGAAAAGUUGUACUUGCAGAGAGUUGGUGCGCCAGCUUGCAAAGUUAAGCACAAAGCUGAGAGGAGAGUUCCUUUGUUCUACGCCGUGCUUUGAAAGGGAGAUCAGGGAAGGAUCACAACAAUUAUCAUUUACUCCUACUGCUCUUAAAUGCUUUAGAGACCGUGGUAAAAGGAUCGAAAUCGUACAUUUUCAGGAUUUUGUGCACCUGUUCAGGAAGAAAACAAAACAGAUAUGUCGAUGAUCAACAAGGCAUAUAUUUAUCAGCGGAUUUACAGAAAUCAUCUUUUUAUUCUCAGAAAGACACCCAACUUGAAUCUAUCUUCCUGGAAAAAUCUAUGCGGAAUUGUGUGCAAGGAUCGUUCAUUGCUCAUUUUGAUAAUGCCAGCACCGGAAUGCUAACCAUGGGAAUUAUACACACUUUUGGGAUUACAACUCUGCACUUCAAAACGUUUUCAUUCAUUUUGAAAUUGGGAUUAAAAUAUACAUUGUUUGGAAUACUUAUUUUGGGGGAACCUUCGGUUCAGUAUCAGCACAUUUAGACAUAUCUUUGGAGACUGAGAUUUCAACAGGAAUAAAAGAUUUACCGUGCCUGACAGUGCAGACCUCAGUGCAGGUGAUCAGGGAGGCAGGCCGAGCACUACAGGACAUCUGGUGAGGCAAACAGCUCACCAAUUCCCAAGCCUCAUCGUCUCCAAAAAGCACAAGGCAGUGUUUCAGCAGUGCAGAUUGUGCAAUGCGGGUUCUGGUCACCGACAUCAGCAGGACGAGUCAAGAAGGUUUCAGCAAGGUCUUGAAUAGCAAACCGUGUUUCAGCAAGCCUGCCCACAUCCUCUGCCCACGAGUGAGAAGCAGUUUACCCAGAAAACCACAGAGGAAACACUUGCAUGUUUACAGCUGGAGCAGCCGAAUGGUGCUCACAUCACAUGACCUAUAGGGCCUGCCAAUGAAAAUGAGCUCAUCGCCAAAUCUGGGUGCACUACAUCUUAUGACCUGUCAUAAAUGUUAAAAAUAUUACGUUGUCCCUGUCAAAUAAAUAAAUAAGUGUUGAUAAUUUGCAGUGACAACAGUAUUUUGCUGGUUACUAAUUAGUGGUGUAAUGAUACACUCAUGUCACAAUACGCUACAUAUUGUGUCAUGUAGGUUGCGAUAUGAUAAGUAUCACAAUACAUCUGAUGGUCCUGAUGCGCUACUUUUAAGAUGCACAAUAUUUUGUUACAAGACAAAAAAUAAAUGAGUGAGGGAGAGUAUGUAUUUAUACCAACUAUUAAAAACACGUAGUCUUCAUUCAAGAACCACUUGGUGAACUGUAAUGAGCAAUGUUGUGCUUUUGGUCUUGUAUCAUGCUACAAAUGAUACAUACAUCUAUGAUACAAUAUGCAAUAACUUGUAAAGAAAGUAUCAUGAUUCAUCGACACACAGUGAAUUGUGUACACCCCUAAUGCCAAUACUUAAUCAAUACCUGACAUAUGGCAACAAAAUUAAUUUUAUAAAGAUGCCACCAAUGAGCUUUAUUAGUAUACAACUACCAUGCUUAGUAAAACAUCAAAUAAUAAAAUAAAAAAAUGCAGAAAACAAAGGUCUGCUGUUCUGUGUUCUCAAUUUCUGCCAUGUUGCCUUUUAAUCUCUCUUAAUGUCUUUAUUUUGCAUUUUGGAAUAAGUAGUUAGUUAAAAUUCAAAAGGAAACAAUGAUAUACAAAUGUGCUGAAAACUGAAAAUAAGUGGUUUAGGUGAAUUAUGUAAAUGAUGGCAGAUAACAGGCAACAAGCAGAAAGUGUUACUAAAAGAAACAAUAUAAAAUUGUAACACAAAUCAAUCAGACAGAGGUCUACUGUUGCUUCACAAGGCAAUUUCAGGAGGGAGCUUCAUUUUCUUCCUGUAUAUUGCUUUAGAAUCCAGAUUUAAAGGCAUAUAGAAUAUUCAUUGACACAAGACACAAAAUGCACACCACCAACCUGAAAGCAAAUCUCAGAUGUUCACACAGUUUGGGGAAAAAUGUGGUUUCACUAAAGGAAAGAUUCCUUGGAAACUUUUUAGAAGUUGGCUGCAAAUCUAAGAGCAGCUAAAGAUGGUAUUUUAGCAGGUUUAUUUAUAACCCUGAACUUUUUAAGGGAUUCUAUAAAUGCAGCUGUGCUGAAGUCAUUGGUUAGCCUUAUUGUUUUUAUUGUAUGUGACCCAUACUCUCAGACUGCAGCUAUUUACAGCAACUAAACCCAGGGCGUGCUAAAUGUAAAAACAAAGGGCCCCUUUUCCCUUGUGUAGGUCAGCAAAAAGUCAUUAACUGUGACAUAACAAACAAGUACAAACAAUCCUGUCUGCUCCAAAUGAAAACAAAAAAUGCUGGUGUUCAGACUACAGUGCACUGUAUUAUUUGUAAGUGGGAUUUAUGCUGGCGGGUGGGUAUGAACUAAGAGGAAAAAAAUCAAUGGGAUCUGGCAGGUAGUCAAUCUCUGAUUGAAUGUGGAUCUUACUCUGCUUAAGAGACAGAUAUUCCUGACACAUUCAAUCUCUAGUAAAAGUGGUGUUGCUCGCAACUGAAGCCCAAUUUAAAUUAGAUGAAGUCAAGGUAAAUUGCCUGACUUACCACUAAAUAACCUUCAGUCCAUCCAUCGUCAGGGUGGAGAGUGGAAAUGACUGAUGGAUAAAUGGGUCAGGUUUUGGCAUGAGUGUUUUCUUUUUAUAGAUAGUGGAUUCCCAGGCCUUAAUGGAGGUGGAGGUAAAAAAAAAAAGUAUUCACCCCAGGAUGACAUAAUUAGGGCUUCUGGUUUUAACCGAUAAAACCCCCAAUACACACCGGAAAGAAACUGGAAAUGGUUACCCUAUUCACAUUGACUUCACCCCUUUCUCAUUUAAAAAAAAAAAAAAAACUACUACAAAAAAACUAAAACAAACUAACCUUCCCAGUGCAGUUGGGCAAUGUCCCCCUUCAUGACUUGUAUCUAUCACUGAUUCGUUCUGACUACUGUGUGGCAGAACAUUCCUACAUUUCUAUUGGAUACUCCGCUAGUGAGAUUUAAAACAAGAUUACAAUUAGAAGGCUUCCUCGUGGCAUUUAAAACUAUGUUACAGUUGGAUAGGGAGAAUUUAAAACAUAAUUGCAAAUUGUGACGAAAUGUAAAAAAAUGGCUAGUCACACAAAAACACCCCUGUGAUUUAGGAUUUCAUUGUGGAAGUCAGCAAAGGAAAGAAGGUACAGCUUAAGUACUGUCGAGUUACUAUACAUAUUGUGACAGAAAAAAACAGCCAAGCAUUUUAGAAAGUAACUGAAAACAAUAAUUACAUACAGUAUAUCAAAAGCCCCCCCCCCCCAAAAAAACCCAAAAAAAAACACUAGUGAAAUCACCAGGGAGAUGUGGAAUAAGAGAGCAGCGAAUGAGAGUAGCUGUAUGAUUUGUCAAUUAGACUCCCUUUCUUCUGGAUCAAUAAUAAGUGAUUGACCAAUUUCCUUGAUAAAGUCAUGAUGACUAUAGCAUCUUGCUGGUCAAUCCCAAUGAAAUGUAGUUAACAGAUUUUCUGUUUUUUGUGUGUACUGUAUGUAUGGCUGUACAGGAGAUCGAAUCCAGUAUAGAAAUGGCUGCUAUUUUGUCUUUGGAUGCUAUUUCCCACUGAGGUAACAAUUAAAGGGUGACUUAUGCAAUUAAGUAGAGUCAGAUUGAUGUUACAAUCAUACAUGAUGUAAGUAAUGGGGAAUUUAAGCAAAUUUAAGCUUUUUGUUUGUAUUUUCCUCUGUUUUCCUGUCAACCCAAUCAAGCUGGGAUCUUGUCAGUUCAAAACCAGGGGUCCAAUCAUUCUUCAUGGACUUGAAAAGAAUAAAUUGUAUUGAUUUUGAAAUGUGUUAUAGACAGGAUGACAGCGUGGACCAGUCAUUUCACCUUUGGGACUUUAACUAAAAAACUGAAAUUCAAUUUAAAAUACAGUAAAAACGUAAUUGUGUGAACUUGACAAACAUCUCUGUUAUCCUGCCAUGAUGUGUGCAAUACCGUUCUGCACUGUUAUAGAGAAAAUGUGCAAACCAUCUCUCUUUUGCUGGUAGGCUUAAGUACAGUACAGUACAUGCAUUUUUGGGGAUUAUAUUAUUUCUUAUUGAGGCUUAUUAACAUGGAACUGUUGUAUUAUAAAAACAAUUUUCCAGUUAUUUCAUUAUCCAAACAAAUAGGUAUAUAAACGCUGCCUGGUCCUAAUUAGUGUGGAUAGAGGUUUCUCAGUAUUACCUAUAAUAGGCAUCUGACAACAGGGUCAGUAGGAUACAGAGCUAAAGGAACAGUCAUUGUUCUCCCCAUACAAGAAAGCAAGUGCACUGUUUACAUCUUGAAUCGUGUAUCUUUUGGGUUCAAUUCCAGGUUGAAUUCCUGUUUAUCGUUUUCCUGUAUUAUCAUUUUCCUUGGAGUUUCAAACAGGUGCUUCUGGUACACAGAUACAGACACAUUCUUGCAUAAAUGUGACUUAAUGCCAUUAAAACAGUUGUUAUAAUGCCCUAAUAUUAUAUUUAUUACCAGAAUGGCUAGAUUAAAAAAAAAAAAAAAAAAAUACAUUCUGUGUCACUAUUGUGUGGUGUUUUAGGGGUUGCAGCUUGUGCCUCAACUUCUGAGGAUGACCUCCUCAUUUUUAAGGAAAGGGAAACACAUAACAGUAUACACAAACACAUGCUGGUUGUAAUGCAAGUAUGAGGGCCUGUAUACCACAAUUACUUUAACUUCUGAAAAAGAAAAAAAAACAACUAAAUAUUAUCCUAAAAAGGUGAGAAUAAAGUACUUAUUUUGUGUGAAACCUAAAGGAUUUAGCUUUUUUUUUUAUUUCUGUGUACUGUAAAUCUCCCCGUGUACAGCAACUGAACAGAUCCCACUCCUUUAAACUGUUUGCUUAUACUGUACAAAGCUGUACUGAUUUGUAUGAUAAUGAAUUGUUUAAGCCCCUUCACUGUAAACAGUCAAGUGAUUGUUAUGAAUCUAAUUGCUGUAAACAAGUGCUUGGGGUUUGUAUAGUGUUAGACAGUGGAGGAGAAGAAGAAGGCUGACCGAAAUCAGAAUCAAAAUAUAUAUUUAUUUUGUCUAAUGAUAUGACACAGACAAAGUGAGGUACAGCAAGUGAGAUACAGCAGGUUGGUGUACUGAGACGUAAACAAACACACCCUCCCUCAAGCACAUACAUAACCACAUGCUUAUAUACUGUACACCACCAGAAUCUCAUGUUUCAGAUCUGUUGACUGUGUGUGUAUGUGUGGGAGAUGUUGUUAAGAAUCUGCUAGAGCAGGCCUUUUUCUGCAGGAUGUGCACUCUGCAUGUUUUCCAGGGGGCACAUAGAUACACACACUCACGCACUUAAUGUUUUAAACUAGCACAAAUGUCUAACUGAUUAGAGUGGUUUACCUGUGCCUGUUGAAAAACGCUGGAAGCCCCAACCAGUUGUAUUGUAUCCUGCAGUUACGGCUCAAGACUAGAGUCAUCUUCUCAGUGGUGGAAAAAUCUAGGGGAUGUGUUUUGUUUUGUUUUUUUCGUUCUGAAAAAAACAUGGUCUUCAGGCAAGGUGCUAAAACAAAGAACCACUCCAAUCCAGCUGUGAUUGUUGGGAAGUUAAAUGUUGUAAGGCUGUGCUGUCCUUCAGGCCAGCAGUAAUUGCACAGACUAGUGCAGGCUCCAGGCUUACAUGACUGCUAUUUCUUCGUUACUGCUUUGUUUUGUUAUUUUUAUGUGUUCCUAUAGUCACCUGUUUUUGUUCAGUAUUAAGAGACUAGCAUUAAGGAUACUAUAUAUUGUCUUCAUUUUACAUACUUUUAUUUCAUACCUGUUUAAUAUCAUAUGUGUGUUCUGUAAGAUUAUCUGUUGUUGUUUCUGCUUUGAUCAUUACUUGCCAUGCUUACUAACUAUACCAGCAAAAAGAUUCUCUGCAAAGAAUAGGCUGACUGUGGGGAAGCAUUUUGGCUUUGGUUAAAAAGCUGUCUCCAUUUGGGUUUCCCUGUAUGUUUUGCUGAUGGUUUCUGUUUUCUUGCCCUGUACUGUAUUAGACAUCUCUGGGUAUCGAUGUAUUCUGCUGCUGCUGAGUGUAUUUUAUUAUCAUGCAUGUGUGUGUGUGUAUAUGUGAAGUUGCACCUUUAGUUUUAUAUUUCCUUAUGAAGCCUUUUUUUAUUCUGUGUUGGGUUUUGAUUGCCCCUGCGCCUGGCAAAUGUUCUUAUGUUUUGGAUCUUUGUACUGAUUCCUUCUGUUGGCAUGCUUAUUCAUAUUUUUUCAUUGACUGUUUUCUUUUUUUUAAAGAGAAUGCCAGUUGUGUACAAAUAGGUGAACUUCAUCUAUAGUGGCAACACAAAAAUAUACAUUUUUGAUAUCAUAUUCUAAAUUUUGCCCCCCUCUCUCAAAAGACAGCCUUCUAUAUUAAGUGUUUCUCUUUCCUUGCCCAUUGCUAAUAUUACACAAAACUUGCCUUAUAUAUAACUAGGACUUCUGAUUUUCGUUUUUAACCGAUAAAACCAGAUAAAACACCCCCAAUACAAAAAAAAUGAAAUCGGUGGAUAGCCAAUAAACACCGGAAAACACCAGAAAAACUGGAAAUGGUUAAUCAAUUCAUGUUGACUUUACCCUAUUCCCAUUUAAAAAUAAAACCUACUACAAAAAUAAUAAUAAAUACAUUUCCCAGUGCUGCUGGGCAAUGUCCCGCCUUCCUGACUUGCAUCUAUCAAUGAUUCGUUCUCAAUACUUUAAACCUGCCCCAACUAUGACAUCACAUUCCUACAUUUCUACUGGAGACUCCGCUUGCGAGAUUUAAAAUUAGAUUAUAUUUAUCUUGUAUUUAUCUUGCUCUUAAUUGUAUUAUUACUUGUACUGUGAUUCUUGAAAUGUAUUUGUUUACGACUGUAAGUCGCCCUGGAUAAGGGCGUCUGCUAAGAAAUAAAUAAUAAUAAUAAUAAUAAUAACAGAUUACAAUCAGGAUGGAGGCUUGUUAGCGGGAUUUAAAGCUGUAUUACAGUUAAGGUACAGAGGAUUUUAAACAGAAUUCUGGCAAAAUGUACAAAAAUGCCUACACACAAAAACCCCAGAAGAAUGUUCCUGUGACCAUAGGGAUUUCAUUGUGGAAGACAGCAAUGGAAAGAAGGUACAACUUAAGUGUGCAAGUACUGUCGAGUUACUACUAUACAUAUUUUGACAGAAAAAAAAAAACGCUCAAGCAUUUUGGAAAGUACCCGAAAACACAAAUUUCAUACAGUGUAUCAAAAACAAAAGCCCUGAAAAAAAAAAAAAAACUAUUUACAUAAAACUCAAAAAUAGCUAAAAAUAAGCACCGAAAAGUACAAUUAAUAAAACCCGAAAAACAGAAGCCCUAUAUAUAACUAGACAGAUUGUUCAAUUCAUACUAGUUUUAAUUUUCACAAUAUGUCCUGAAACAUCGACCUAGGUCUGCCAUCUUAACUGAAAAUAUAUACUUUAAUUAUAAUACUUUAUUAGUUUAUCCAACCCCAUGCAACACCCCUAGGGGUGCUGUCUUUUUAAGGUUUACAGUAAUGUCAUAACUUGUGGUGGCAUUGUAGGGAUAAUUCUGGUCCAAUAUAAGUUGCAGUGAUGCAGACUGUAUUUUGUAGUGAUUAGGGUGCUUAAAAACAGGGUAGAAAAACACAUUUGAUAAAGCCUGUUUGGGUAUUAGUGACCUAUAUAGAUAGCCCAAGGAUGCCACCUACUCAUAUAUUGUUGGAUCUGGCAAAGUAACAUUAGUACAUUUUGUGCUACACAAGUCUGUCCUGGUUAGUGUCCUGGCCAUUCCAAGGCAGACCACAAACCACUGGACUAAUAGUGUUGGCAUAUGUUUCCUAAGGAAAGGCCCAAGUAGUACCCUUCUGAAUGGAUGUCAGGCUGUAUUAAUCCAGUAGGACAGUAGCGGGAAACCCCUGCUGUUUGGAGUUCUUGUCAUAACCUUUAAUUACAUGUGACCUGUCAGCAUUACAGAUGGCUAUGCAAUAGAAAUGGGGUUAACCCAUCAACCAUAUCCUUUAUCUCAGGAGGGGGUGGUAGGAGAUUCAUGCCAUCCACAAAGAAUACCAAUGCGUAGUGAAGAAUGGAAAGGAUAUGUGCAUCAAGAGUGCUGUGUACACUAAUCAGGUGCUAAAGUGAUCCGUCAGCCAGCUUAAUGAAUGCAUCAUUGCACAGCCCAUUUUUCUCUGUUACCUACAGUAUGAAAGAACAAUGGGAGUCCUGAGUACCUUCUCAACCUGCUGACCCGCUAUGUCCCUGCCCGUAAACUGAGGUCCUCCGACUCUGGCCUGCUUGUUAUCCCCAAGCAAAAGUGCGCCACACUUGGAGAAUGCUCGUUUAGCUUCAUGGCUGUUGCUACUAUUUCAUGUAUUAUGCUACUAUAUCAUGUAUUAUGCAUUGUUUUUUUUUCCUGUAUAUCAUGUAUUGUACAUUUCUCUGUAUCUAAAGUAUUAUGGAUUUUCUUGUUGUUACUGCAUCUUGUCAAGCACUUUGUGAUGGUGGUCCAGUAUGAAAGGCACUAUAUGAAAUAAAGAUUGAUAGAAAGAUUUGUUCCACAAUUUCUUACAGUAGCCAUUCUGUCUAAGUAUUGCAACAAUGACUACAAACACUUUCCCCCCCUCUUAUUAACAGCUAGAUAUAAGAAAAAUAAAUCUUUUAUGGCUCCACAAAAAAGUGUCUCUAACUUUUAAAAACAUAUU
This is a long non-coding RNA of Acipenser ruthenus (sterlet), 8830 nucleotides long. RefSeq lists it as uncharacterized. The record is from RefSeq and is a predicted model, not a curated record. The transcript has 7 exons. Lineage: Eukaryota; Metazoa; Chordata; Actinopteri; Acipenseriformes; Acipenseridae.